UGAUUUUGGCGUAUGAAUGUAUCACUUCCUUUAGAGAGCGUAUAGGGAAAGUAGUCAAUGAGCAAGAAAUUUCACUUUUGCGAUGGGGUAGAAACCUUAAACGUUCAAGCUUAACUACUGGCAUGUCUAACGAGAUUAGAGAUCAUGGUGAGGUAAGAUUUAAGGCUUACCUAUGAAUCAUUUGAUGUCUGAGUUAUUUAUUAUUGAUGGCUUAGUUAUG
This 220-nucleotide long non-coding RNA is filed under the name Brassica napus (rape). RNAcentral describes it as "long non-coding RNA (BNAP_LNC025213)". The record is from RNAcentral. Lineage: Eukaryota; Viridiplantae; Streptophyta; Magnoliopsida; Brassicales; Brassicaceae.